UCUAAAAUGGCAGAUUAGUGCGAUGAAUUUAAGCUUCAUAUAUAAAGAAUAUUCUUUUUUUAGAA
RNAcentral lists this transfer RNA (65 nucleotides) under Inocellia tibetana. RNAcentral's name for it is "tRNA-Leu". The record is from RNAcentral. Lineage: Eukaryota; Metazoa; Arthropoda; Insecta; Raphidioptera; Inocelliidae.